RNAcentral lists this ribosomal RNA (279 nucleotides) under uncultured bacterium. Its description in RNAcentral is "partial 16S ribosomal RNA". It matches the Rfam family "Bacterial small subunit ribosomal RNA", at positions 506 to 784 of the family's 1533-position model. The record is from RNAcentral.
UGCCAGCCGCCGCGGUAAUACGGAGGGAGCGAGCGUUAAUCGGAAUCACUGGGCGUAAAGCGCGCGUAGGCGGUUUAGUAAGUCAGAUGUGAAAGCCCCGGGCUUAACCUGGGAACUGCAUUUGAUACUGGCCAACUAGAGUGCGAGAGAGGGAGGUAGAAUUCCACGUGUAGCGGUGAAAUGCGUAGAUAUGUGGAGGAAUACCGGUGGCGAAGGCGGCCUCCUGGCUCGACACUGACGCUGAGGUGCGAAAGCGUGGGGAGCAAACCGGAUUAGAUA